RNAcentral lists this ribosomal RNA (460 nucleotides) under uncultured bacterium. Its description in RNAcentral is "partial 16S ribosomal RNA". It matches the Rfam family "Bacterial small subunit ribosomal RNA", at positions 338 to 795 of the family's 1533-position model. The record is from RNAcentral.
CCUACGGGAGGCUGCAGUGAGGAAUAUUGGUCAAUGGCCGGAAGGCUGAACCAGCCAAGCCGCGUGAAGGACGAAGGUGCCAAGCAUUGUAAACUUCUUUUGUCAAGGGACAAAAUCAGGCUCGAGAGCCUGACCGAGGGUACCUGACUAAGAAGCCCCGGCUAACUACGUGCCAGCAGCCGCGGUAAUACGUAGGGGGCAAGCGUUAUCCGGAAUCACUGGGUGUAAAGGGAGCGUAGACGGCUGUGCAAGCCUGAAGUGAAAGGCGGGGGCCCAACCCCUGGACUGCUUUGGGAACUGUACGGCUGGAGUGCAGGAGAGGUAAGUGGAAUUCCUAGUGUAGCGGUGAAAUGCGUAGAUAUUAGGAGGAACACCAGUGGCGAAGGCGGCUUACUGGACUGUAACUGACGUUGAGGCUCGAAAGCGUGGGGAGCAAACAGGAUUAGAUACCCUUGUAGUC